Molecule: unclassified non-coding RNA, 760 nt
Organism: Rhipicephalus microplus (southern cattle tick)
Lineage: Eukaryota; Metazoa; Arthropoda; Arachnida; Ixodida; Ixodidae
Source: RefSeq, a predicted model, not a curated record
UGGAAGUUGGAUGCUAGAUGAGUUCACAUGGACCAGCCGUGGCUUCCCGCUCAAGCAUUAUUCCUUUGCAGAGGGGAGACAACACCAAGACUGAGAAGCUGGGAACCACUGACAAGGAGAGGCACCGCCAGUGGUUCGUGAAAAGUUCACUGAAGCAGCCGCCAUUGCGGCGAGAUUCGUUAGCAACGCAAACUUUUCAGCUUGCCAAUCUUCGCACCUGGCACACGCAAGAAAGAAUCCCACAGGAACUUGUACGCCUUCCAGCCCUUGCUAGCCAGUGAAGACGACUUUACCCAGAAGGCAGCAUUUAAUCUACUUCCAAGCGCCCUCUGCUUUUCCAUGGACAUUUCCUCGAAGAUCAUAGAUGACUGCCUUCUCGACCUUCACUAUCAUCCGGUGGAUUAUCUGUGGAUACCUGGGGCCAUGCCAUCCCUACGUCCACAACGAGUAGUCUUCCAGUUCCCGCCUCUUGCUUGUUGUCUUCUCCGGAAUGCGUCAUGCAGCACAGCCCAAUGAUGUGGCCUGGCCGUCUGCCUUCGCUUCGUUAAGGGACUUCCUUCUGUGUUGCUACUCAUCACUGCGCUGUGGCCAAUGGCGGAUGAAAAGUGGGCGACUGACUGUAUCCCACCUUGCUCCCGCGGGACAUGACAGCAAUCUCCUGAUCCACCCCGGGGCCUGUGAAUGUUGUGAAACAUCCUAACGCCGGUGUACGUCAGUGUUAUCGUACGGUGCAUAUCCAAUUAUAAUCUCAAGGCUUGCA